Molecule: long non-coding RNA, 922 nt
Filed under: Homo sapiens (human)
Lineage: Eukaryota; Metazoa; Chordata; Mammalia; Primates; Hominidae
Description: HSALNT0021007
Source: RNAcentral
CUCCUGGAAUGCAUCUUUGCCUUCCUUAUCUGGAAGCUAAUCACUAAAUAGCAGGUGGCGGAGAUUCUGGUUUUCAUCCCUCUUUCUCUCUCCCUUUCUCUCUUUUACUCACUUCCUCAGGGCUAUGAAUUUCUGAAUCUUAAACAGGAAACCUCCCUGAUUUGUUCACACCUGGAAUGCCAUUCUAUCUUUGUUUGAAGAGUGCAGAAAUUAGAGCGCGGGAGAAUCAAGAGAAGGAGCUGUUGUGUGAAGAGGGAAGAGAGAGGUCAGCAUUUAAAUGUGAACACACACACUGAGAGGCACAUAUACAUGCACACAGUUUAAUCUAAGCUAAGCAUUCUUUCUUUCAACUCCUGCAUUUCCCUCCUCAUCUCCACUGCCAGCAAAUGUCUUACAAGACAAAGAGUAUUUACUGUGUGUCACUUCAGUUAUCAACACUCUGCACAAAUAGGUUGACAGAGGAAACAGGCAAAGUACCUUUGCAGGCCCAUUUGGGGUUGAAAUAGCAACUAGACUGCCUAGAGGCUGCCAGAUAUUAGCUUACUUAUUGCUCCUGCAAAUGUUAGAAGCUGGCUCUUGAGAGAACCUGUCAUCAACAUCCCUGUCCCCGUGGGUGUCAGGAAGGUUCGGCCUUCUUUAAGGUAGGCACUGUGUCCUCAUGGACUGUUCAUUUUGGGAAGAACCUUGGGAGAUCACCUGGUUCAAGCUCCUGGCUUUAGUCAUUGUUUGUCUCUAAAUCCAGAGACCAAUGUUUGUGAUCUACUGACUCGUAAGCUCCCUAUGAGGAAAAUGGAACAAAAUAUUGGGCACAAAGACAUAAAUCUAAAUGCAUGGUUUCUAAUCUGUGGACCCUGAGAUCCCACAGGAGCACCAUAUUUGCAUGAAUCAGUGCUUAUAGGUUGACCAAAUAGCAUGAUUCACA